CUCUACUGAAGUUUUUUUUGGGGGGGAGAGGUGGAAUGCGGGGCCACCCAAAAGCAAGGGGUGUGGGUGGGUAGGAGGAGAACCUGCCUCGUGCAGGACGGCGCGCUCACUGGGCCCUGCCAGUGCCUGGCAUGGAGCUCAGCGUCUACGAAAUUAAUCUGCUGACGCCAGGUUGCGAGGUGUGGUUCAGCAAGAGCCCACACGCCAGAGCCACGCGGCCGGGAUUCGAAUCUAACUGGGUUGCUACUGGCUUUGGGAACUGUGGGCAAGGUGUGUCGUUUUUCUGUGCCUCAGUUUCCUCAUCUGUAAAGUAGGCACAGAGGAAGUGGGUUGUGGCCACUUUCAAUGUGUUCAUGUAAGUUAGCACUUUUUAGAAGCCUUGGGUAGCCUGGUUUGUGGGUGUAAGGUCAGGAAUGACCACAGUGCAGGUUUUCUGAUCCCAUGCAGACCGGGUAAAGGAGGAGUCAGAGUCCUCAGUGGUUUUGCAGGGCUUUUAUUGGGGUUCACCAGGCAUAUGGCAGGCAGGGAUGCUGGGGGGCCCCGGGAGGCUGGCAGGCCUCGCAGCCCCCAGCGAGUCUUCAUUCUAUCUGGGCUCACUGGUAUUCUCUGCUUCUGCUUCUGCUUCUUUGCUUCUCUCUUGGCUUCUCUUUCGGCUUCUGCUGCUGGCUGCUUCUUUUUUGGCUUCUACCGGCGUCUGCGUGACACCGCCCUUGAAAGCACAGUCUUAGCACAGGUGUACCCACUUCAGGUGCUCGCCAUCAGGCAUGCAUUCAGGAUCACAGGGUUCCCUCAUCUAUCCUCAUGGCAGGAGGGCAGAAAAGCCUGAUUUUUUACCUUACCCUACAGUGGGUCCUUAAAUAGUUGUUCCCAGUGGGUCACAUCCUCAAGGGUUAAGGGUGAGACCUGAGCCCAGACUCUUACUCCGAGUUGAACCGAGGUGGUUGGUCCUAUUCACCAGUGUAAGGGGGCAAAGGUGCAGCUUUUCCGAUCAGCAAGGUAGUUCUUCAAUUUUCUGUAAAUCCUGAGGGCUGUAAAUCCUUUUCUGUAAAUCCUUCCCCAGGGCUCAGGCUGGGAUACUGGGUAGGAGUUAAGAGCAAGGUAAAUUUCAUAACAUGGCUUUGUUUUUGACAAUUCUAGUUUCCACCCAGAAUUUACAUGUCCUCUUUAUGGCCCUUGGCGACCCUCGCCAGCUCCUCACCUUCAUAGGAGACCACAGGAACAACAGGACAGCCAGCACUCCCUCCCACAGUUGAAAUGACAAUUUAGUUCUCUCAACUCUUGGAAUCUUUGAAGGGACUGAGCAGCAUCACUAAGAACAAAGUCUCCAGAGGCAGCCGAGCCAGGUUUCCUUCUCAGCCGCUUCCUAUUAGCGGCGUGGUUGCAGUGUCCAUGAUGCCCCGGGUCCAGGUACAAGCCCAUUCUCCGGGACGAUCCUCGCAGGGCACAGCUCUCUCCCCGCGGCCGCCUUCAGGGGCCACAGCUGUUCUUCGUUUUGCGUUUUGGGAUUCUGACAUGGUUGGAAGCAGAAACAUCCUGAGACAAGGAUCUGAAUAUUGGUCGGUUGUUUGUUGGGACGUGUUCCCUGGCAACUUAGGUACAAAUGGAAGCACCUGGUCAUGGCAGGCACUGAGCAAAAUGCUGAGGACACAGCUGGACCUUCUGUGUGGGCUGCCCCCCCACCCCACACCUACAACCCCACAGGGAAGAGAGACUUCAACAGUGAUCGAAAUAUCGAGAGACCACUUCACCCCCCAACCCCAUCACAAAUUAGAAAGAUUAGGACUUGCAAGUGUUGGGGAUAACGUGGGGAGGUAGGAGGCCUCGGCACUGCUGUGGACAUGUAUGUUGCCUCCACCAUUCUGGGCAGUAUUUGGUAACAUUAAAUCUGAACAAACCUUGUGUCCAGAAAUCCCAUUCCUGGAUAAUCACCCCAGAGAAGCUCCUAAAAAGCCAGGAGAGAAUCGAACAGAAAGGUUCAUGGCAGUGUUGCUAGUGGCAGAGUGUAUCAGCAGAUGGUGCUGGGGAAGGUGAAGCAAUAGUGAGGAGAACAUACUAGAUGUUCCUAGAGCAAUGCAGAUGGGAAGACCAUAGUGAAAUUUAGUCUUACAUAGUGAAAUUUAGUUUUUGAAAAUGAGAGCACAUGCAGGAAGCCCUUAAAAUGUACAAGCCUCGUGUAUUUGGGGAAGGUGACUAGGAGUGGGGAUCAAGGAAAAAGACUUAAGAGUCCUUGGGGGCCUCCCUUGGUGGCACAAGGGGGUGAGACACAGCACUGUGAAGCUAUCUGCAGCCUCUGCAGCACAAGUUCAAUCCCCAGCCAGGGAGCAACCCACAUGGCGCAGCAGACUUCUCCUGGCUCUCGCUGCUCCCCUCAGCAGUGUAGGCCAGUCUGCCUGUUCUGCUUCCCACUGUGUCUCUGUGAAUCCUCUCAUCCCCCCACACUCUGGCCUGUACUCCAGUUCUUGUAAGCAUAAAUAAAUCUUUAAAAAAGGGGUCUU
This is a long non-coding RNA of Talpa occidentalis (Iberian mole), 2495 nucleotides long. RefSeq lists it as uncharacterized. The record is from RefSeq and is a predicted model, not a curated record. The transcript has 4 exons. Lineage: Eukaryota; Metazoa; Chordata; Mammalia; Eulipotyphla; Talpidae.